Molecule: ribosomal RNA, 450 nt
Filed under: uncultured bacterium
Lineage: Bacteria
Description: partial 16S ribosomal RNA
Rfam family: Bacterial small subunit ribosomal RNA
Source: RNAcentral
GUGGGGAAUUUUGGACAAUGGGCGCAAGCCUGAUCCAGCAAUGCCGCGUGCAGGAUGAAGGCCUUCGGGUUGUAAACUGCUUUUGUACGGAACGAAAAGCCCUGGGUUAAUACCCUGGGGUCAUGACGGUACCGUAAGAAUAAGCACCGGCUAACUACGUGCCAGCAGCCGCGGUAAUACGUAGGGUGCGAGCGUUAAUCGGAAUUACUGGGCGUAAAGCGUGCGCAGGCGGUUUUGUAAGACAGAGGUGAAAUCCCCGGGCUCAACCUGGGAACUGCCUUUGUGACUGCAAGGCUGGAGUGCGGCAGAGGGGGAUGGAAUUCCGCGUGUAGCAGUGAAAUGCGUAGAUAUGCGGAGGAACACCGAUGGCGAAGGCAAUCCCCUGGGCCUGCACUGACGCUCAUGCACGAAAGCGUGGGGAGCAAACAGGAUUAGAAACCCGAGUAGUCC